Long non-coding RNA from Crotalus tigris (Tiger rattlesnake), 5533 nucleotides. RefSeq lists it as uncharacterized. Lineage: Eukaryota; Metazoa; Chordata; Lepidosauria; Squamata; Viperidae. The transcript has 3 exons. The record is from RefSeq and is a predicted model, not a curated record.
CUCUGUACCAAAGAUUGGCCAAUCUAAUCCUAUAAUUUAACAAAAAAAGUUUCAAGAAUAUAUUAAUGUAACCUUUUUUUCCUAAGCAAAUUAAUAGAUAAAUAUCCAAGCAGUGUGACAUUACUAAUAUUUUAGAAUCUAAGAGAUGAUAAAGAAUACUCAACAGAUUUCUCCAACAGAAAAACAGGGUAGAUAUAAUUGCAACUGUAUUUCAAUAUAAGAAGUUUAGAUUGUUGCAGUUUGAGACAAAAAUAAAUAAAAUCCUAAAUGCACAUAUCUCAGAUAUGUUAACUGAAAAGGAAAUUACUCACACAGUGCAUUAAAGUUAUGAUUGUUUUAGCCAUGAAUUGUUAAGUGAGUCAUACUGGCUGGUUUCACUAUAAAACAUAAUUUACAAACCACAAUGAUUAUGUUAACACAUUACACUAAACCUUAACCAAGCAAACAGGCACUAAUUAAAAAAUUAGUGGCAAUAUUAUGCAUAACAACAGAAAUGUGUUUAUGUAGUUUAAUAAAACCUUUUCCUUCCUCCAUCUAUUUGGCUAAAGAAUUCACUAUGGCACAGGGAAGGAAGGAAGGAAUUUUUUGUUUUUUGUUUAUUUAAUCCUUGUUAUCUUUCAUUUAUGCUUACUAUAUAGACAAUAUAUAAAAACAAGACAUGAAUGACAGAAUUCAAUGACAUGGUUAUGAAUAAUGCUUCAUUUCUUGCACAGGAGAAUAUUUUGCCUUCUCCGGAAGGAGAUAACAUUAAUCAUUAACUCCCUGACAAAAUAUUUGACUGGUUAGAAGGUACAUAUGUAAUUUGAUUCUGUUCUCAUACUACAUGUCAUCAUCUCAAACUCUCCAAGCAUGCCAAAGGUUUUGAAGUUAGUACUGACUUAGGUCGUUUCUUCAAAAUCAGCUGGGAAGGAGAACUUUUAUAUUUCACCUCCAAAACCCUAGGUAGUCUCCCCUUUGUGCAAGACAAAAGAGAUUUAGGAUUUUCAGGCAACAGAAGGGGAGAAAAAAGCUCUUUCACCAUGACUGCCAAAGUCAAAUGAUAUUCCAGUUUUAAGCUGGAAAAAGAUCCAUUAGAUCUUCGCCGUUAGAAAUGUGAUGUCCCAAAUUAUCAGCCUUCUCAGCCAACUAAAUGUGAUACAGGAUUUCUGUGCUGUUACUAGGUGCAGAGAAAAUUGCAUAUUGCUAAGUGAUGAUUGACUCCUACUGAUUUUAUUCUAAAAAAUAAGUGUGCCAUAAUUAGGAGAUAUUAUACGCAGAAGAAAAUGGUUUAAUAUGCAAAUCUGGCAACCCCUAAGGGAUGGCAGAGCUCCACCCCUACCUAGUGAGUGCUCUUUAGAAGCAGGGGAUAAAGUUGGCAAGCAUUAAAAAUAUUCCAACUUCAAAUAAAUAAGUAUCUGAUAUUGUCAAGAUUGACCUGUUCUUCUAAAACACAAACAUUGCCUGAAAACCUCCAAUAGGCACCACACCCUGAAACACUCCCCAAGUUGGAGUUUAGUCAAGAUUAUGCAACAACUGAGAGCAUAAUUGUCUUUGAUAGUAUUCAUUUGUUGCUAAUGUUACAGGAGAUUUUAGUGAAUGUGCAACACCUUCGUUUAAUGAUACACAGCUUGCUUUCUGGUAUGCACUAUAGGAAGGGCUGAGUGAGUAAUCCUUUGAACUGAGAAAUGUAACAUUCCUUUUUAGCUACAGAUAGAGAGAAAUGGGUCAUGGUUUAUUAAUUCAACAUAUCUGAUUCACCUACAAUAGACUUCCAUUUGAGUAAUUCUUGGUAUAAUGACAAUUAUAAAUUACCUCUUUGCUUCAAACUGGUUAGCUACACUGUAUAAGUUGGUAUAUAUAGGUCACAACUAUUUCCUGCACAUGAUUGCAACCUAAUUCAGAUAUGCUAAACUAGGUUUUGCGUAACUUUAGUUUUGCUAAGCUACAAAUGAAGGAUUCAUACAUUUCACUGAGCCAUAAAUCAUGGCUUGCAGUCUACCAUGAUUAGUUUCACAUUAUGCCAAAGCCAAACUACGCUACAACUCGGUAUGAUUUGUGAAUCCAGUCUUUUUAGUUUUCCAAAGCACAGAUACAUCUUUUUCCUGGUCUUGCUAUAAAAGCCUUCUAAUCAGUAGAAAGGAUGAACCUUGGACCUUACGCUCCGUCAAGUAGACAAAGUCUAAAUCACAUGCUCUGCUGCUGAGCUGUAGGUCUCAAAUAGCCUUGCUUAACAGGCACGUCUAGUUUUGUGCACUGCCAAAAUAUGCAGAACUGAACCAAGGGCUUUGGUGUGCAGCAGCUGAUUUGACUGACACUCAUCUGGGAACCAGUUCUUCUGGAACACCAGACUGCAGAGGUUCCUAGAACAAGAUUCAAUUUGUGAGUGAGAAUCUCCACACAGCUUAAAAAAAAAAAGGCUGUGAUUUAUCAGAUACAGAUGCAGGCAUUUCCCAUCCGAACAUAUCUCAGUCCCCGUCCUGUUUUCAAGAUUCUCCAUCUCCAGUUUUCCAAUUUUUUGUGAAAGUGCUUUUUGUACCACUUGGACUCCAUGCCUUAUUCUCUGCCCUUUGUCUACAUACUGCUCUUAUUUGGCUACAAUCUUAAAACAACCCAGAGCAUUAUAAGUUUGUAUUAAAGCAACAACUAUCUGACAUAUUAACGUGUACAAAGAAACAGAAGUAAAGUGUGUAGUGUUUCCUGAUAAGAAUGUUGCCCAUGAUUAUUUGCAUUGUAUUCAUAUAUUUAAAUGUACUGUAUAUUUCUAACGGUAAAUACUGAACUGUCUUCCACCUUUGAUAUCAGCAAAUCGGAAAAUUGCCUAAUGCUUCAGCCCACAUUUCCAAUCAUCCAUAACUUCCAAUACUUGAAUGAUAAAGUGGCUGAUUUGUUCUACCUGGUAAUAAAUUGUGUAAAAUGAGCUUAUGUUAAAAAUGCUAUUGCGGGUAAAAUGGUCUAGGCAUGCUUUGCAAUUUGAAUUAUAUUGGCAGAAUCCAGGCCAUUACUAAGUUACAGGCUGUUGAAGGGUUGAAUAUUAUAUUGCAUUAAUAUUUAGUUGAAGAACUAAGGACUUUUAGAAUAAAGUCAAGCAAGCCUCAAGAGUUUGCAGGUUAAAAUACUCAUUCAGAUUUGUUUUCACCCCUGAAAUUCCUUUAGCAAGAUUCUACUAGUAUUGCCACAUUAUCUCACAGCUAGUUUUCUUUUAUUGUUACUCGACUGCAGCAGAAAAGCAAAACUCCCUCCCCCCAAAAAACAACAACAAAAAAGGACACAUUUUCUUUCAUGUUUUCUGUAAUUUGUACUGAUGUCAGUGAUGCUUCACUGAAUCCUGCAUGAGAUAUACAAUGAAACACAGAUCACAGUAUUCGGCUUGAAUGGCACCAGGCAGGAUGCCAGCACCGCAUUCAUCUCCACAGAAAUUACCUCAAAUGUUAAUGCAUGAGAAUGUGCAGUUAAUUUUCACAGCAUCCCCUUCUGUUAAUGGAGAAAAAGUACUUCUCCAAGUGACUGCACUGAACGAGGCCUUUAGGAAACUUCCCUUUAGAGAAGCCUUCAGGAGACGCCAUUGAAUAUGGUCCUCUUGAGAGAUCCAUGGGGACCCAGGAAGCGUGUCUUCUCGGGCAUGGCUCCUAGUGUCUGGGAAUAAACUUCCGUGCAGCUCCUGUCGACAUUCUGGAAGGCUUGAAGACCUGGCUGGUACCAAGCCUUGGGCUGAGAUGGAGGGCUGGUUUUUUUUUUAAUUAUUGUUAAUUAUUGUUAAAAUAAUUAUUGUGAGCAGUCCAGAGUGGGUUUAAAGUUGGGUGGUGCCUAAACUGAACUGAACUGAAUAUAUACCCACCCCACACUCUGGUAAUGGUAUUGAAUUCCAUCGGGAAACCCCAACCAAUUCCUUUUCCUGUUUAAUAGGCUGUGAUUUUGAGUUAUCUUCUCUGAGAUCAAAAUUUAUCUCAUACUUAAAACAGAAUAGCUAUGUAUUCUUCUGGCCUCUGAUUUCUUUUUUUUUUAAUUCAAAAAAAGGGACCCAGAAAUACUUCAAAUCAAGCGACCAGUCAAGCACCUCUGUAAUGUCUUCAAGAAAACUCCUGUUCUCUCAGCGCUGGAACAAAACACAGUAUCACUUAUUUCAUUAUAGCCUUUUGACAAGAGUUGCUGCAAAAUCACAAACUGCGUACUAGGGAGUACUAUACAGAAGGUAAUUCAGAAGUAGCUGUGCAUGUUUUUGCACAGAUUGCUUACCUGAAAUUCUGUAAAUAUUCUUGAAGUUUGUUUAGAUUACAGUGUUUCUCAACCUUGGCAACUUUACGAAGUGUGGACUUCAACUCCCAGAAUUCUCCAGCUAGCGUUGCUGGAGGAUUUUGGGAGUUGAAGUCCACACAUCGUAAAGUUGCCAAGUUGAGAAACACUGGUUUAGAAGGAACAGUACAUAUUUACAUGGGAUGGAAACUGGACUUAGAAAAUUGUUAUGGAUAUAUUAUCAGUCUUUAUUUAAAUAUAAUAAACAUUCUAUUUAACAGGGUAAUAGAGGAGAAACAUCUAUAUACUAUGAAAAUUAUUGUGCCUGUUUGUAUCUUUCAACUGUGUGAAACACUGCAUCAUGGGGCAACAAUAUUUGAACCAAGGUACCUCAAAUGGGCUAACUUACAGAAAAUGCAUCCAAAAUCUGGGACCAGGAUCACUCCUGUGGAAUUGAAAUUUGGCAAAGUUACGGCUGCCUCAGUGCUACCGUGCCUUCCGACUACACUUCCCAGAAACCUGUAGAUUGUGUUGGUACAAGGGAAGAUGUAGGGGUGUAUUCCAAUCUGAUGGUGGCAAUGCUGACAGGCAACCAACACCUGGUUGCUUUCGAAUCAAGCUGAAAUUUGAAUUCUCUUAACAGCCGUGAGCAGCAAAGGAAAGACAAGGGAUUGACUUGGUGUGCCUGCUGGUGAGGUAGGCCUGGCUGGGGGACACUGGUGAUUGAAGGGUAAAUGCUCUUCCUCCCUAGGAGGGGGAUCUUGAGGACACAUCAGGAUGGGGAGUGGGGGUGCAGUUUUCUUCACAAUCCUUGGCUCACUUUCUUCCCCCCUCCCUCCCAGCAAAGUGGCAGGGAGUUCCAUCGGACAGUCAAGGCGGAGGAAGAGCUAUUUUCCACACAAGCAACAUCAACAGAGAAGUCAGCAGGAAGUCAGAGGUCAGUCCUGUUCACAUUGCAUUGUUUGGCUGCCCGUGAACACUCCGUUUCUCUGCUUGGGUAUGGUAAACAACAAUGAGUAUUAAUAGCCAUUGAUGGCUUGGUCACCUAUUCCACAAAAGCUGUGAAUGCUCCAACACUGGAAGUUUUUAAGAAGAGACUGGACAGCCAUUUGUCUCUGUGAUGGUGAACUUUUUAGAGACUGAGUGCCCAAACUGCAACCCCAAACUCACUUAUGCAUCGUCGAGUGUCAGCACCAGUUGACAGUUUCUUCAAAGGGUCGACCAUGAUUCCAGAUUUCCUUUCCCUUCCUACUGCAGGGUUAAAAUCCAGUAACAUACAGAUGAAGUAAUUUUGUGUCAGCAUAAAUAUUUUAUGCUUGUCUGC